UGGGGCGUCGUCAAGCGGUUAAGACACGGGCCUUUGGAGCCUGCAUCCCAGGUUCGAAUCCUGGCGCCCCAGCCA
Molecule: transfer RNA, 75 nt
Filed under: Candidatus Zixiibacteriota bacterium
Lineage: Bacteria; Pseudomonadati; Candidatus Zixiibacteriota
Description: tRNA-Gln
Rfam family: tRNA
About the family: Transfer RNA (tRNA) molecules are approximately 80 nucleotides in length. Their secondary structure includes four short double-helical elements and three loops (D, anti-codon, and T loops).
Source: RNAcentral